AGGAAAUACAGAGAUUCAUCAUUAAUACAGAAGAUAGCAGAAACAAGCAGAGUACAUAAAGCUUUUGCACAAGACGUGUGCACAGAGAGGAAGGGUUCAUACUGAUAUACAUCUCUUAGGGCGGUGAUCAGAAAUUGUAUUGCGACUUGGCCCUAUGAUUUGCAGCUAUAAAUAACUGUUCUUACUUUCAAUGUUCAUGCCUAAGAAAAU
Sander lucioperca (pikeperch) is the source of this 210-nucleotide long non-coding RNA. RefSeq lists it as uncharacterized. The record is from RefSeq and is a predicted model, not a curated record. The transcript has 2 exons. Lineage: Eukaryota; Metazoa; Chordata; Actinopteri; Perciformes; Percidae.